GACGAACCGUGCAAACGUUGUUCGGAAUCACUGGGCUUAAAGGGCGCGUAGGCGGGCUGGCCAGUCAGGGGUGAAAGCCCACGGCUCAACCGUGGAAGUGCCUUUGAUACUGCCAGUCUGGAGGGAGGUAGGGGCGUGCGGAACUUCCGGUGGAGCGGUGAAAUGCGUAGAUAUCGGAAGGAACACCGGUGGCGAAAGCGGCGCGCGGGACCUCUACUGACGCUGAGGCGCGAAAGCCAGGGGAGCAAACGGG
RNAcentral lists this ribosomal RNA (253 nucleotides) under uncultured bacterium. Its description in RNAcentral is "partial 16S ribosomal RNA". It matches the Rfam family "Bacterial small subunit ribosomal RNA", at positions 524 to 776 of the family's 1533-position model. The record is from RNAcentral.